This 420-nucleotide ribosomal RNA is filed under the name bacterium. Its description in RNAcentral is "partial 16S ribosomal RNA". It matches the Rfam family "Bacterial small subunit ribosomal RNA", at positions 355 to 776 of the family's 1533-position model. The record is from RNAcentral.
UAGGGGAUAUUGCACAAUGGGCGAAAGCCUGAUGCAGCGACGCCGCGUGGGGGAUGAAGGCUUUCGGGUUGUAAACCUCUUUCGCUAUCGAACAAGGCCCGCCUAGGGUGGGUUGAGGGUAGGUGGAGAAGAAGCGCCGGCUAACUACGUGCCAGCAGCCGCGGUAAUACGUAGGGAGAGAGCGUUGUCCGGAAUUAUUGGGCGUAAAGGGCUUGUAGGCGGCUUGUUGCGCCUGCUGUGAAAACGCGGGGCUUAACUUCGCGCGUGCAGUGGGUACGGGCAGGCUUGAGUGUGGUAUGGGAGACUGGAAUUCCAUGUGUAGCGGUGGAAUGCGCAGAUAUCUGGAGGAGCACCGAUGGCGAAGGCAGGUCACUGGGCCAUUACUGACGCUGAGGAGCGAAAGCAUGGGUAGCGAACAGG